Molecule: long non-coding RNA, 5157 nt
Filed under: Corvus moneduloides (New Caledonian crow)
Lineage: Eukaryota; Metazoa; Chordata; Aves; Passeriformes; Corvidae
Description: lncRNA (ENSCMUG00000018908.1)
Source: RNAcentral
GGACCCCAGCAGUGCUUGGGAGAUCAGAGCAUCCGUGGAGAGGAGCUGAGGAGGGGGCUCCAGUGCCAGGUACGGGCUGGGGCAGUGCUUCACCUAAUCGCAGCCAGACCGGGAGACAGCGCGCAGCCUCCCCCGCCGCGGCCCAGCGAGGCACCAGGGGCCGCGGUGACGGGGACGGCCGCUCUUCCCGUGCCCCAGGCUGGCCAACAAGCAAGACGCGGCGGCCGCGCUGCUGCCCUGCGAGCUGAUCGAGCGGCUGUGCCUGGAGCGGCUGGUCAACGAGAACCGCUCUCCCUGUCGCAUCGUGAGUGCGGGGCUGGCUCCGCUCCCCGCUCCCCGCUCCCCGUGCCCGCGGGGCUGCCGCCGCCGCUCGGCGCUCCCCGCGCUGAUCCCCCGCCCGCCCGCAGGAGCCCUGUGUCGCCAAGCGGGUCCCCCCCGCCGGCCCGGCCCGCGCCACCCUGCAGGGGCUGCGCUGGCUCCUCCGCGCCGCCGCCGCCGCCCCGGCCCUGCCGGCCGCUGCCCCGGUACCUCCCGCCCCGAGGGCCGCCCGAGCCGGCCCGCCCGCCCGCAGGUGGGUGCGGGGCUCCGCGGGCGCCUGUCCCCGUCCCCAUCCUCCCCCCGCAGCGCUCGUUCUCACCCUGCUGGGCUCUCUCCCCCAGGGACCGGCCGUCCCCCGGGGAAGAGGGCGCGGGGAAGAACGGGGAGCACCGGGCAGCGCGCCCCGUCUGCCGCCUCCUGCCCCUGGAGGAAAGCACUAAGGGCCCCAGGAGGAGGAAGAGGAAGGUGAAGAAGAAGGGCUUGGGGCAGCCAAGCCCAGCCGACGAGCUGGAGGGACCGGGAGUAGGGGGUGACAGCCGUGCAGGGGCUGCCGGGGGGCUGCUGCUCCCCAACAGGGUCGGGCAGGAGGAGCCCGUACCCACCAGGAUGGCCACCCCCCACUCAGCACAGGGCAUGAAAAAGAAAAAAAAGAAGAAAAUCAAGAACAAAAUCAAGUCACAGGAACCUUCUCUGGAACAGCAGCAUGAGGAGGCCUCAAGCACCUUUGAUUUGUACCGCCGGGCGAUGCUGGCUCUGAAGAUGAGGCAGGAGCAGAGGAAGCAGACUUCGGCCAUCACCCCCUGAGCAGGGGAGGCACAAAGCAAGGGAUCCACAGGAGUGAGCCAAAAGUCCCUUUGUAAGAUGCCUCUCUGGCAGCCGGGCUGCAAAUUCAUCUGAAAAGGGAACAGCCGGCCCCUUGCUGCCCCCUGUUAGUAUUCUGUGGAAGACUCCGCUUAAACCCGGAUAAGUCUGUGGAGGAGAGGAAGAUCCGAGCAAACAUCCCAGGGGGAAAGCCUGUCUCUUGAAUUGCCCUAUGCCCUGGGAAAGCUGUCUUGGCAGGUCAGGGGCUGACCUGGCCCGUCAGUCACUCCCUGGCUACUGCCUGGAACAGUCUCAUUUCCUGAUGGUGAAAGUGGGAGAGCAGUCCCAGGUGGUCUGCAGAAGAGCUCCGCCCAACCCUCAGCCACAUCUGGCAGGGCUGUCAGGACUCUCUUCACACCCUGGAGGAGGGCAAUACCCGCGUUUGUGCAUCCUGCAGCCCGUCAGUGAAAAUUUAAGUUCAAUGGCAGCUGGUGGCAGAGGCUGCUGGAGGCUCCUUCCCCAGGAUCGUUCCUCCUGAUCCUGCCAUCCCUCCAGGAGAGACAUUGCAGCAAAUCUUCCCGCGUCACUGGCAGCCCGGCACUCUGCUGCCCCGGGUGGUCCCUGAUGUGUGCUCGGCUCAGCUCUGAGACGGGACAAGCAGCAGCGCAUCGCGUCCCGACACAACCCGCCUGUGACGGGCCGUGUCCGUCCGACUGUGCUGUCCCGGGCCCGAGCCGGGCCGGGGACUCGUGCUGCCCGGCUCUGGCAGGGUGCCUGGGCCGGGAAACCAGCCCUCAGCCCUGGAAACACCUUACGUGGAGCCGGGAACUGGGGUAACACCUGCAACAGUGUUAGAAUGUGAACUUGCGUUAGUCACCUCUGCUCCCGUGGUGGUUAGUGAUUAACAGGCACUGCCUCUGUGGUCCGGGGAAAGGCAAAUCACUAAAGCCCUUCCCUUGGCAGGGCUGAAAAGGGAGAAGAAGAGAAACCGUCUACUUUGCCUUGCCAGCCUGCCAUAAAGUUCUGUCGAACUCUGCCAGAUUCAACUGUUGGUGACUACAGGGAUUAUUUGUAAAUAAAUUGUAAAUAACAACAGCAGAAGUUAAUACUGCCCUGUAAAUACAGCGGUUCCAGCAGCCCCUUGUCUCAGCCUGGUGGAGUUCCCUGCGAUGUGGGUGCUGGGGGGUAGAGGGUAAAGUGGGGACCUGUGCUGUGAUGGAGCCUCUUCUCCUGGGAUGGGUGUCCCUGGGGGUCGUGUCCAGGCUGCCAGCCACGUUCCUUCUGCUGGGGUCCCAGAUCUCCACAGCAUCAUAGGGAGAGAAACAUUAAAAUGUAUCCCCUCUAACACCCACUUCUCACACAGCCACUGGGUUUGGGAUGAGGCCAAGCACUCCCAUACAGCUGGGACCACGAACCAGCCCACGGCCUGCUCACUGCAGCUCCAGAACCGGGUGGGGAGCAGGAGCAGAGUGGGUUUGGGAGCAUCUGGCACGGGCGGCUGCAGCCAGCUCCCGCUGGUGCUCCCUGCAGCUCCCGACACCGCAGCUCCUUCCAGCGAGCACGGAGUGCCCCGUGUGGCACCCACAGCCAGAGAUGUCCAGCAGGACAAGUCACAAGUCCAGCGGCAGAACUGGCUGGGAAACUUUCCUUGGAGCCAGCUGUAAGAAACCUGUCAGGUUGACCUAACACCUUUUCCCAGAUAUAAUGAUCUCCAGCCUGUGGUGCAGACAAGCAGUGAAAACGUAUUUCAAAAUCAACGCCCCUUACCCUGGUGUUUCCAUGGGUGUAGAGCACCUAAUCCCAGGAGAUAAUCCUGGUCUGCAUCAAAAAGGAAUACAACUUUCAUCUUCUUUAGAAGGUGAGCAGCAACAACUCUACAUUAAAAAUGGUGUAUCUCAAAGCAUCUCAGAAAAAUCUCAAAAAUGAGAUCUUGAGAUCUAUGUGACCAAAGAUAAAUCAAAAUAUAUUAAUUAAUGGUUAAUCUGUGCCACUGGAUAAUGGGCUGGGCUGCUCCUGGCACAUGUGAGAAGCAGUGGCUGUAGCAGGGGGUGCAUGCCUGGGGCAAGCACGGUGGGCAGGGCCUCUUUUUCCAUAUUUCUCCUUUUAUUUAUCUUACAUCCCAAUAGCUGAAUAACCGGCUAGGGCAGGAGGUGUCUGGGAGGCAUGGUCCUGGUGGCACUGCCUGCUGCUGGGGGUGAGGUAGGGCCCUGCCCAGGCUGGUCCUGGCGUGUCUGAUCUGCACCGAGGCCAGGCGUGGAGCCCAGCAGCAGGGCGUGGCAUGAGCAGACACCCCCAAAAAUGAGAUGGUGCUGAGUGGUACCCCCCCAUGAAUGCUGGGUUUGCUGAAAAGUGCUGGAGUGCCAAAUGUGCUGAGAAGCAGGAAGCAGUGCCUCAGCAACUGCUGUGGAGAGACACACAUUUUAUCUCUUGUGGAGAGUAUCAACAGCAUUUUCUACAGGGAGCUGGCUGGGUGGCACAACCCUGCUUUGCAUUGCUGCACUUGGAAUUAUCUAGCAUACCCUUCUUUUCCGGCUUCCAGAGGAGCUGACUCAGGAGGGUCAGGGUAGGCAAAACAUGGUGCCUGGUCCCACCAGCACUGUCGUGGUACCACAGCCUGGGCUGGGGCUGCCUUGUUGGAAACUGGCGUGUGAGUCUGCAUUUCUACAGCUCUUGAUUUUGCUCAUUCAGAGACCCACAUCUGCCAGCAGGGUCACCAGCAGCUCUCUCCACAGCCUGUGUCCUUCUGAGCCUAAAAGAUGGAGAGAAGGAGAGAUGGAGGGAGUGAGUCUGCACCCGGCUGAGCUUUGCAGAAGUCGAUGUCUGUUUGUAUGCUGCCAGGAGGAGAUGAAGAGAUGUUUGAGCAAAUGCCUGUGGGAAUACACCUCCCACCUCCUCAUACCAGCAUUGCUUUGCACAAUUGGAUUCCUUCCUGAUGCUUGUUAUCACUAUCAAAAUUUAAAUGUGUGGGCUGAAAGUUGAAGAGUGAGACUGCUGCUCUUCUGUGAAGAGCACUGCUUGGUCACUUGUUUAAAAACACUGCCAAGUCCUCCUGUGUACAGGACAGCACCAACCUUUCCAGGCAGCAGGAAGACCUGGAGGACAGCCUGUAAGAGGGGAUCAUGUGGGGAGGCUGUCAGCUCCUCUAGUUCCACCCAUGGCCCUGCUGUGCUUUCUCCCAUGUCAUUAAAUUUCGCUUUCUGCGCACUGGCUGGGCUUAGCCAGCAACUACACUUUGUGUUAUAACCCCUCCUUGCUCCACUCUACCCCCAGAAGAGGAUGGGGAAGAUGAUGUUGACUCUGAAAUCUUCCCUGAGAGCCCUUGAUUUGUCCCAUACACAUGGGCAGGGCAGGAGGCUCCCCAAGGCAAGCUGUUGUUGAGAUGUACAGGCAUCUCUCCUGCUGUACAUCCACUGUUGUGUUUUUUCAAUAAAAACUAAACCAUGUGUUUUCCCCAUAUAUAUUGGUGUUUCCGGGGGACUGCGAACCAUCAUGGAUUUCACCACUGUUUCCAGGAUUCUGAUGGAGACACCCUUUGGCAAUCAGCCUUCCUAGCACCUGCAGUGAGGAUGCCCCGUGCUCCGAGGGGCAGGACAGGGAAGGUGAGCCUGGUCCUGGGGUGCUCCACACAUCAGGGAGCUGUGGGGCGGCAAAACCCCACAGCAGCCAGGCCUGAUGAAGGAAAGUAACUCAGAGACAGAGAUUUGUGAUGUGGGAAAAACAUGGCAGUUCUUUGACCACUCCUUCACUAACCCAAAUUGAUAGAAGAAGGAGCCAGCAAGUGGUUUUUGCGAGCAUCUCAGACACUGGAAUUUGAACACUGAUUUAGGGCAGUAAAAGGAAUUAAUUGCAAGUGAUCCAGGUUAAUGGGUGUUUUGCAAGGCAAGUGGAAUGGAUCACAUCCUGUGGGGUGCCUGCAGGUGAUUCUCAUCCCCCGCCAACCCAUCUGUAAAUCCCAGCACCUGUUCUGGGGCAUAUAAACAGCCAGGGAAAAGGCAGUGUUUCCCUGGGGUGUAGAGCCUGGGGCUUGGGCUGGUGAGG